This 251-nucleotide ribosomal RNA is filed under the name uncultured bacterium. RNAcentral's name for it is "partial 16S ribosomal RNA". It matches the Rfam family "Bacterial small subunit ribosomal RNA", at positions 524 to 767 of the family's 1533-position model. The record is from RNAcentral.
UACGGGGGGAGCAAGCGUUGUUCGGAUUUACUGGGCGUAAAGGGCGCGUAGGCGGCCUGUGCAAGUCAGUUGUGAAAUCUCCGAGCUUAACUCGGAACGGUCAACUGAUACUGCUCGGCUAGAGUGCGGAAGGGGGCAACUGGAAUUCUUGGUGUACGGUGAAAAUGCGUAGAUAUCAAGAGGAACACCUGCGGCGAAGGCGGGGUUUGCUGGGGCCCGACACUACGUGAGGGCGCGAAAAAGCGUGGGGG